This 448-nucleotide ribosomal RNA is filed under the name uncultured bacterium. RNAcentral's name for it is "bacterial SSU rRNA". It matches the Rfam family "Bacterial small subunit ribosomal RNA", at positions 29 to 507 of the family's 1533-position model. The record is from RNAcentral. RNAcentral also lists the same sequence under 1 other name.
AACGAACGCUGGCGGCAGGCCUAACACAUGCAAGUCGAGCGAGGUAGCAAUACCUAGCGGCGGACGGGUGAGUAACGCGUGGGAACGUACCCUUUGCUACGGAAUAGCCCCGGGAAACUGGGAGUAAUACCGUAUGUGCUCUUUCAUUGUAGUGAUGGGGGAGGAAAGAUUUAUCGGCAAGGGAUCGGCCCGCGUUGGAUUAGGUAGUUGGUGGGGUAAUGGCCUACCAAGCCGACGAUCCAUAGCUGGUUUGAGAGGAUGAUCAGCCACACUGGGACUGAGACACGGCCCAGACUCCUACGGGAGGCAGCAGUGGGGAAUCUUAGACAAUGGGCGCAAGCCUGAUCUAGCCAUGCCGCGUGAUCGAUGAAGGCCUUAGGGUUGUAAAGAUCUUUCAGGGGGGAAGAUAAUGACUGUACCCCCAGAAGAAGCCCCGGCUAACUCCGUG